RNAcentral lists this long non-coding RNA (1113 nucleotides) under Marmota monax (woodchuck). Lineage: Eukaryota; Metazoa; Chordata; Mammalia; Rodentia; Sciuridae. The record is from RNAcentral.
AUUUGUUUAUCACUAGGGAAGAAAUACCCAUCAUUCCUGUGUGUGUUUGUGCACGUAAAGGACAUAGAUGACCUGGAAAAAGGAAGGAAUUGGAGAGCUCUGCAGGUUGAAGCGGUGAUGGAGUAAGCCUAGAUAAUGAUGUGACACUGGAAAGGAGGCCCUUCAGAUUUCAAAGAGUCCAAUUUCUUGUGACGACCAGUUUUGAAGUGUGACAGAGGCAAUAGAAAGCAAGACAGAAGGAGAGGUAAAAAUGACCAAGAAUCAUCAGGUUAAAAAAACCUCAAGCCAAGGUGUUAAGGCUUAUUCGUGUAGAGUUCUAAAAAAAAAAAAAAAGAAUAUACAAUGCAAAAAUUCCUAAAUAUAAGAAGAUCUGAAGUGAAAAGUAAAAAUGUCCCACCCAGACAUCCUAUACCAUUCUGUCACAAUGGUGGUGUUCAUUAUUAAAAACAUACAGUUUGGGUCGGUUGGAAAUCAGUGAAGUUCUUAGCACUUGUGAGGACCUGUGGUGCUGGGGUAUGGGUGGUAUGAGGUUUCUUAAUUUGGGCAUUAGUAAUGAGUUUGUGAAAAUCCAUCAAACUUCACACUAAUCUUUUUUGGCCUAUAGUCUACUUAAAUAACAAAAAUGAUUUGCAUAAGCUAUAUUCCUUUUUUAAAUAUGUAAAAGAAUGAUACUAAAAAUAAUGUAACAAAUACAAACACCUACAUACCUGCUAUCCAGUUUAAGAAAUAAAAUAUAAUAAAGGCCUUGUGUAUUGUCAUAUGAAUACAUGUUCCAUGUAAAUUUCAAGACCAUUUUCUCAAUAUUUGUAAAGGCCCACCUAUAAUUUUGAUAUGGAUUAUAUUCAGUCUGUUAACCAAUUUGGAGUGUAUUUCUACCUUAACAAUAUUAAGUCUUCUAAUCCACAAAUUUGGGUUUUCUUUCUAUUUAUUUAUAUCUUUUCUAAUAUCUUUUAACAAUGCUUUAUACUCCUUUUUAAAAUUAUUCCUAAAUUAGUGUUGCCUAGCAUGCAUGAGGACCUGAGUUAGAUUCCCAGCACUGCAAAUAAAUAAAUAAAAUAGAAAAUAAAAAAUGUAUUCCUAAAUAUUUUAUUUUUUAUGUCAAUAUCAAUACAG